Non-coding RNA from Acanthosepion pharaonis, 111 nucleotides. Lineage: Eukaryota; Metazoa; Mollusca; Cephalopoda; Sepiida; Sepiidae. The record is from the annotation of a GenBank genome assembly.
CAGUCACAACAUGAGGAAACACCAGUUCCUGUAUGAUCACCAAUGUUAAGCAGUAUCGAGUCUAGUCAGUACUUAGAUGGGUGACCACUUGGGAAUACCAGGUUCUGUAAG